Molecule: ribosomal RNA, 269 nt
Filed under: uncultured archaeon
Lineage: Archaea
Description: partial 16S ribosomal RNA
Rfam family: Archaeal small subunit ribosomal RNA
Source: RNAcentral
CAGCACCUCAAGUGGUCAGGAUGAUUAUUGGGCCUAAAGCAUCCGUAGCCGGCGCUGUAAGUUUUCGGUUAAAUCUGUACGCUCAACGUACAGGCUGCCGGGAAUACUGCAGCGCUAGGGAGUGGGAGAGGUAGACGGUACUCGGUAGGAAGGGGUAAAAUCCUUUGAUCUAUUGAUGACCACCUGUGGCGAAGGCGGUCUACCAGAACACGUCCGACGGUGAGGGAUGAAAGCUGGGGGAGCAAACCGGAUUAGAUACCCGCGUGUCC